AUAACGAGCGCAACCCUACCUUUAGUUGCCAUCAGGUAAUGCUGGGGACUCUAAGGAACUGCCUACGCAAGUAGUGAGGAAGCGGGGAUGACGUCAAAUCAGCACGGCCCUUACGUCCAGGGCUACACACGUGCUACAAUGGCCGAUACAGAGGGCAGCUACCUGGUGACAGGAUGCAAAUCUCCAAAGUCGGUCUCAGUUCGGAUCGGAGUCUGCAACCCGACUCCGUGAAGUUGGAUUCGCUAGUAAUCGCGCAUCAGCCAUGGCGCGGUGAAUACGUUCCCGGGCCUU
This 291-nucleotide ribosomal RNA is filed under the name uncultured Sphingobacteriales bacterium. RNAcentral describes it as "partial 16S ribosomal RNA". It matches the Rfam family "Bacterial small subunit ribosomal RNA", at positions 1089 to 1382 of the family's 1533-position model. The record is from RNAcentral. Lineage: Bacteria; Pseudomonadati; Bacteroidota; Sphingobacteriia; Sphingobacteriales.